Molecule: long non-coding RNA, 288 nt
Organism: Melospiza melodia melodia
Lineage: Eukaryota; Metazoa; Chordata; Aves; Passeriformes; Passerellidae
Exons: 4
Source: RefSeq, a predicted model, not a curated record
GGCUGGCAGGGAGGGUGCAGGGAGGAGUCCCGGCAGGGAUAAAGGUGCUCCUCACCUGCUGCAGCCUCAGGCAGAGCUGCCCAGAGCCAGAGGAAGAUGAAGGUGGCUGUGCUCAGCGUGGCCCUGCUCUUCUCCAUCCUGCUGUGCCCCCCGACACAGGCCAAGGCACUCCUGAAAGGAACCCAAGAUGAUCUGCGGGAGUUGGAUUUAGACAAUGUCGUGGUCCUGGAGACGCCUCUGCCCCCUGUGGCUGAAGAGCUGCAGGCUCUCCUGCGGCAGAAGCACCUG